RNAcentral lists this ribosomal RNA (861 nucleotides) under uncultured Bacteroidota bacterium. Its description in RNAcentral is "bacterial SSU rRNA". It matches the Rfam family "Bacterial small subunit ribosomal RNA", at positions 54 to 918 of the family's 1533-position model. Lineage: Bacteria; Pseudomonadati; Bacteroidota. The record is from RNAcentral.
UCUGCAGUCGAGGGAGAAGCUGUCUUCGGACAGUGGAGACCGGCGCACGGGUGCGUAACACGUAUACAACCUACCUUUUACAGGGGGAUAGCUCAGAGAAAUCUGAAUUAAUACCCCAUAAUAUUACACUUUGGCAUCAUUGUGUGAUUAAAGCUCCGGCGGUAAUUGAUGGGUAUGCGUUGCAUUAGCUAGUUGGUAAGGUAACGGCUUACCAAGGCUACGAUGCAUAGGGGGUCUGAGAGGAUGAUCCCCCACACUGGUACUGAGACACGGACCAGACUCCUACGGGAGGCAGCAGUAGGGAAUAUUGGGCAAUGGACGAGAGUCUGACCCAGCCAUGCCGCGUGCAGGAUGACGGUCCUAUGGAUUGUAAACUGCUUUUAUAUGAGAAGAAACCCUUGGAUGCGUCCGAGGCUGACGGUAUCAUAUGAAUAAGGAUCGGCUAACUUCGUGCCAGCAGCCGCGGUAAGACGAAGGAUUCAAGCGUUGUCCGGAUUUACUGGGUUUAAAGGGUGCGUAGGCGGAUUAUUAAGUCAGUGGUGAAAGCCCGCAGCUCAACUGCGGAACUGCCAUUGAAACUGAUAAUCUUGAAUAUGGUUGAGGUAGAUGGAAUGUAACAUGUAGCGGUGAAAUGCUUAGAUAUGUUACAGAACUCCGAUUGCGAAGGCAGUCUGCUAAGCCAUCAUUGACGCUGAUGCACGAAAGCGUGGGGAGCGAACAGGAUUAGAUACCCUGGUAGUCCACGCCCUAAACGUUGAUAACUCGCUGUUGGCGAUAUACUGUCAGUGGCUAAGCGAAAGCGUUAAGUUAUCCACCUGGGAAGUACGACCGCAAGGUUGAAACUCAAAGGAAUUGACGGGG